UGGGGUGACUGCGUACCUUUUGUAUAAUGGGUCAGCGACUUAUAUUCUGUAGCAAGGUUAACCGAAUAGGGGAGCCGGAGGGAAACCGAGUCUUAACCGGGCGUUAAGUUGCAGGGUAUAGACCCGAAACCCGGUGAUCUAGCCAUGGGCAGGUUGAAGGUUGGGUAACACUAACUGGAGGACCGAACCGACUAAUGUUGAAAAAUUAGCGGAUGACCUGUGGCUGGGGGUGAAAGGCCAAUCAAACCGGGAGAUAGCUGGUUCUCCCCGAAAGCUAUUUAGGUAGCGCCUCGUGAAUUCAUCUCCGGGGGUAGAGCACUGUUUCGGCUAGGGGGCCAUCCCGGCUUACCAACCCGAUGCAAACUGCGAAUACCGGAGAAUGUUAUCACGGGAGACACACGGCGGGUGCUAACGUCCGUCGUGAAGAGGGAAACAACCCAGACCGCCAGCUAAGGUCCCAAAGUCAUGGUUAAGUGGGAAACGAUGUGGGAAGGCCCAGACAGCCAGGAUGUUGGCUUAGAAGCAGCCAUCAUUUAAAGAAAGCGUAAUAGCUCACUGGUCGAGUCGGCCUGCGCGGAAGAUGUAACGGGGCUAAACCAUGCACCGAAGCUGCGGCAGCGACGCUUAUGCGU
This 632-nucleotide ribosomal RNA is filed under the name Salmonella enterica subsp. enterica serovar Dublin. RNAcentral's name for it is "partial 23S ribosomal RNA". It matches the Rfam family "Bacterial large subunit ribosomal RNA", at positions 589 to 1221 of the family's 2925-position model. The record is from RNAcentral. Lineage: Bacteria; Pseudomonadati; Pseudomonadota; Gammaproteobacteria; Enterobacterales; Enterobacteriaceae.